UGGAUGCCUUCCUAGUUUGGGCACAAUCCUUUCCCUGGUACAGCCCUUGUUACAACUCAGGUGACAGCUAGGGGAUUUCUUAUGAUGGCCACCCACUUUG
This is a non-coding RNA of Chelonoidis abingdonii (Abingdon island giant tortoise), 100 nucleotides long. The record is from RefSeq and is a predicted model, not a curated record. Lineage: Eukaryota; Metazoa; Chordata; Testudines; Testudinidae.